RNAcentral lists this ribosomal RNA (253 nucleotides) under uncultured bacterium. Its description in RNAcentral is "partial 16S ribosomal RNA". It matches the Rfam family "Bacterial small subunit ribosomal RNA", at positions 524 to 776 of the family's 1533-position model. The record is from RNAcentral.
UACGUAGGGUGCAAGCGUUGUCCGGAAUUAUUGGGCGUAAAGAGCUCGUAGGUGGCCUGUCGCGUCGGCUGUGAAAACUCGGGGCUCAACUCCGAGCUUGCAGUCGAUACGGGCAGGCUAGAGUUCGGCAGGGGAGACUGGAAUUCCUGGUGUAGCGGUGGAAUGCGCAGAUAUCAGGAGGAACACCGGUGGCGAAGGCGGGUCUCUGGGCCGAUACUGACACUGAGGAGCGAAAGCGUGGGGAGCGAACAGG